This 253-nucleotide ribosomal RNA is filed under the name uncultured bacterium. RNAcentral's name for it is "partial 16S ribosomal RNA". It matches the Rfam family "Bacterial small subunit ribosomal RNA", at positions 524 to 776 of the family's 1533-position model. The record is from RNAcentral.
UACGUAGGGUGCGAGCGUUAAUCGGAAUUACUGGGCGUAAAGCGUGCGCAGGCGGUUUUGUAAGCCAGAUGUGAAAUCCCCGGGCUUAACCUGGGAAUGGCAUUUGGGACUGCAAGGCUCGAGUUUGGCAGAGGAGACUGGAAUUCCUGGUGUAGCAGUGAAAUGCGUAGAUAUCAGGAGGAAUACCGAUGGCGAAGGCAGGUCUCUGGGCUGACACUGACGCUCAUGCACGAAAGCGUGGGGAGCAAACAGG